RNAcentral lists this ribosomal RNA (230 nucleotides) under Neofavolus alveolaris. RNAcentral's name for it is "partial large subunit ribosomal RNA". It matches the Rfam family "Eukaryotic large subunit ribosomal RNA", at positions 359 to 595 of the family's 3401-position model. The record is from RNAcentral. Lineage: Eukaryota; Fungi; Basidiomycota; Agaricomycetes; Polyporales; Polyporaceae.
GAAAGAUGAAAAGCACUUUGGAAAGAGAGUUAAACAGUACGUGAAAUUGCUGAAAGGGAAACGCUUGAAGUCAGUCGCGUUGUAUGGAACUCAGCCUCGCUUUUGCGUGGUGCACUUUCUGUACGACGGGCCAGCAUCGAUUUUGACCGUCGGAUAAGGUUGAGGGAAUGUGGCACUUCGGGUGUGUUAUAGCCUUCAAUCGCAUACGACGGUUGGGAUCGAGGAACGCA